GUGAGGAAUAUUGGUCAAUGGGCGGAAGCCUGAACCAGCCAAGUAGCGUGCAGGAUGACGGCCCUAUGGGUUGUAAACUGCUUUUAUACGGGGAUAAAGUGCGCCACGUGUGGAGCAUUGCAGGUACCGUAUGAAUAAGGACCGGCUAAUUCCGUGCCAGCAGCCGCGGUAAUACGGAAGGUCCGGGCGUUAUCCGGAUUUAUUGGGUUUAAAGGGAGCGCAGGCCGGAAGCAAAGCGUGCCGUGAAAUGUAGAUGCUCAACAUCUGAAUUGCGGCGCGAACUGGUUUUCUUGAGUGCAUACGAGGUAGGCGGAAUUUGUGGUGUAGCGGUGAAAUGCUUAGAUAUCACGAAGAACUCCGAUUGCGAAGGCAGCCUACCAGGAUGUAACUGACGCUAAAGCUCGAAAGUGCGGGUAUCGAACAGGAUUAGAUACCCGGGUAGUCC
Molecule: ribosomal RNA, 445 nt
Filed under: uncultured bacterium
Lineage: Bacteria
Description: partial 16S ribosomal RNA
Rfam family: Bacterial small subunit ribosomal RNA
Source: RNAcentral